GCCCCGAUAGCUCAGUGGUAGAGCACUUCCAUGGUAAGGAAGGGGUCGUCAGUUCAAUCCUGACUCGGGGCU
This is a transfer RNA of Yonghaparkia sp. Root332, 72 nucleotides long. It matches the Rfam family "tRNA". From Rfam's summary of the family: Transfer RNA (tRNA) molecules are approximately 80 nucleotides in length. Their secondary structure includes four short double-helical elements and three loops (D, anti-codon, and T loops). The record is from Rfam. NCBI's taxonomy places the organism in Bacteria, Bacillati, Actinomycetota, Actinomycetes, Micrococcales, Microbacteriaceae.